This 73-nucleotide transfer RNA is filed under the name Canis lupus familiaris (dog). It matches the Rfam family "tRNA". Rfam says of the family: Transfer RNA (tRNA) molecules are approximately 80 nucleotides in length. Their secondary structure includes four short double-helical elements and three loops (D, anti-codon, and T loops). Lineage: Eukaryota; Metazoa; Chordata; Mammalia; Carnivora; Canidae. The record is from Rfam by way of RNAcentral. RNAcentral also lists the same sequence under 1 other name.
GCCCAGCUGGCUUAGUUGGUGGAGCAUGUGACUCUUGAUCUCAAGGUUGUGAGUUCCAGUCCCACACUGGAUA